CCUUGGUGAGCAGGAGAAAAUUACACCACUAAAGAAAUUCAAAAGAGCCAUUUGUAGGGAAAAAUACAGUUGCCUCUGAUUACCUCCCAGCUAGGACUUGAGACAAAAUGACUUGCUCAAGGUCUCAGAGAGUGGAAGCAGCAGAGCCACUACUGAAACCCAUGCUCUUCAUCACUAUGUCGUGCAUGAAGACUCAAUACUAGCAUACCUUCAGAGGGUGGAGAUGAAGCUUUCCCGUGGCCUAUACACCCUCUGGGCUGCUUCAUUCAUUGAUCUGCCUGGCCCCUGAAGGCACUUAACACUUACAUUCUCUGGUCUACGAUGAUUUAUUCCUUUUUUAUAUUUUAUAUCUUGUCUUUAAUAUGUUAAUAACAACAAUUGACUGCAAUAGAUUGAUUUGUGUCUGAAGUUUUAUUUUUGAUU
Microcebus murinus (gray mouse lemur) is the source of this 423-nucleotide non-coding RNA. The record is from RefSeq and is a predicted model, not a curated record. Lineage: Eukaryota; Metazoa; Chordata; Mammalia; Primates; Cheirogaleidae.